RNAcentral lists this long non-coding RNA (251 nucleotides) under Elaeis guineensis (African oil palm). RNAcentral describes it as "long non-coding RNA (EGUI_LNC018519)". The record is from RNAcentral. Lineage: Eukaryota; Viridiplantae; Streptophyta; Magnoliopsida; Arecales; Arecaceae.
GACCUCUUUCAAGUAGGCAUCAAAAGCAUAUUUCUGAGGAUGCCAUAGGUGGUCUUCUAAUUAUCGAGACAUCCCUGAUGUGUGAUGAAUCCGAAUCCUAUCCUUAGUCCAUUGACCCCCCGAUCGAGUUUGACUCCACCUAGGUUAAGCUAGUCCGAGGGGUAGGGAGCAUAAUCGACUUUGAAGGUCGAGUUUGAAGGGGAGAAACCAAAAUGGCCCCCUCCUGAGGUAGAGUUGGGAGAACCACUUCC